Long non-coding RNA from Drosophila montana, 555 nucleotides. RefSeq lists it as uncharacterized. NCBI's taxonomy places the organism in Eukaryota, Metazoa, Arthropoda, Insecta, Diptera, Drosophilidae. The transcript is spliced from 3 exons. The record is from RefSeq and is a predicted model, not a curated record.
GAAAAUAUUUACAAUUAAUUCUACAUAUGUUUCCUUAUCCAGUUAAAGUUGGUUCAAAAUUGUGAAAGACAGAAUGCGUUUGGCUGUGAGCACAAUAUAUCUGGCUUUCUGGAUGGUACACUUGGGGUCAGAAAAUGGACAUGCCGAUGAGAGCCAUUUGGAGUUCCCGCCACGAAGUCCAAAUUAUGAUCACAAUAUUUUUCAUCAGCGACAGUUCAAUGCAUCUGAAAAUAUUACAGAUGCAUUCAAUUACGGUAUUGAAGAGACGACCUGGAGAUUACAGGCCGAGUUGAGACGGGUAAAGCUCGAGUUGAUAAGUAGAUUAUGCGGAAAGCCUGGCAGGAAAUGUCGAAAUAUUGCGGAUUGUUGCUCAUUAAACUGCACACAGCGGCCUAGAAGGUGUGUGUAAAAUUAUUUUUAGGUUUUCGGAUAUUAAUAAUUCAAUUUUAUAUAAUUUAAUAAUAUUGAAAACAACAACAUAACAGUUUGCAUCUAUUUGUUUAUUAAUUGCAAACUGGCAGUCAAAUUUAUAAAAUAAAUCAGAUUAAUGAUAAA